Helicoverpa armigera (cotton bollworm) is the source of this 1135-nucleotide long non-coding RNA. RefSeq lists it as uncharacterized. The record is from RefSeq and is a predicted model, not a curated record. Lineage: Eukaryota; Metazoa; Arthropoda; Insecta; Lepidoptera; Noctuidae. The transcript has 3 exons.
UUUACCUAUGUCAUUGGUGCGUUUGUCAAAUUGACUGAUGUGUAUGUGUACAUAGAGUGAGGUUAAUUUUGGGUUUAUUAUUGUUGAAUAGAUAAGUUUAUUUUGGCAGAGAAGAGAAAACGAGGAUAAACCUUUCUUGCAGAAGAAAAAGACAAGCUAGUGAAAUUGCUGACGUCUCAUAGAGACACAAUAUUAAACAAAAAACGGAUGGGACCACGAACGAAGCCAAAAACAAAGCUUGGAUCCAGUUACAAAUAGUUUUAAUGCGAUAGGAACCGUUUUCAGUUUCAGGUGGUGCGAGAAAUUGGAAAGACGUGUAAAAACAUGCUGCGCCCAGCCCACCCCAAAUUGAAUUGGUGCAGGAGGAUGAUGAUAAUGUUUGGUACAUCAUAAGAGGACUAAUAUUAAAAUAUUUGUUUACUAUCUUUGUUUUAAUUUAUAUAUUUUAUUAUGUUUAAUAUUAGCCUACUUCUUACCUCCAGAGGGUAUCCCCUAUCACCUAGGAGAUAGGCUCCUCCAUAUUCACCAUUUUCGAAUCAUUGGUAUCUACUGCAGUUUUGGUAUUUAAGGCCAAUUCAAACCUGAGCGAUAUUCGCUGCCGCUGUGGGUAGAGGUACAUACCGCGCGGCAGCAGCGGCAUACGUCCCGAACAUCAACAGUAAUAUUAUCGCAUACCCACUGGGUUUUCUCUGUCGCAGGUGGUAGCGAAUACCGCUUAGGUCUGAACAGUCAUAUUACCGCAUACCCACAGGGUUUUCUCUGCCGUAGACGGUAGCGAAUACCGCUUAGGUCUGAAUAGGCCUAUAGAUGUCCCGGCCACCGCGAAACUACAUCAGUGAUUACCAGAUUUGCAUCUGUUAUGGUCUGUAUAUUUAUGGACAUGCAGGACUACCUAUUUUUGAAUAAUUCAGCGACAUCACGACCUAGCAAGUGCAUUCAUAGCAAGUGAUAACCUAUAAUCUAUAUCUAUACUAAUAUUAUAAAGAGGAAAAUGUUUGUUUGUUUGGUUGUAAUGGAUAAACUCAAAAACUACUGGACCGAUUUUAAAUAUUCUUUCACCAUUAGACAGCUAUAUUAUCUGCGAGUAACAUAGGCUAUAUUUUAUCCCGGUGCGGGCAGUAGCUCCCACGGGACG